RNAcentral lists this ribosomal RNA (424 nucleotides) under uncultured prokaryote. RNAcentral describes it as "bacterial SSU rRNA". It matches the Rfam family "Bacterial small subunit ribosomal RNA", at positions 355 to 774 of the family's 1533-position model. The record is from RNAcentral.
UUAAGAAUCUUGCGCAAUGGGGGCAACCCUGACGCAGCGACGCCGCGUGGAUGAUGAAGGCCCUCGGGUUGUAAAGUCCGGUAAGCAGGGAAGAAUAAGCAACGGGAAAUAUUCGUUGUGAUGACGGUACCUGCCUAAAGCCCCGGCUAACUACGUGCCAGCAGCCGCGGUAAUACGUAUGGGGCGAGCGUUGUUCGGAAUUAUUGGGCGUAAAGGGCGUCUAGGCGGGGGAUUAAGUUAGAUGUGAAAGCUAUGGGCUCAACCCAUAAAUGGCAUCUAAGACUGGUUGUCUUGAGUGCGGGAGAGGAGAGCGGAAUUCCAGGUGUAGCGGUGAAAUGCGUAGAUAUCGGGAAGAACACCAGUGGCGAAGGCGGCUCUCUGGCCUAGGACUGACGCUGAAGCGCGAAAGCGUGGGGAGCGAACA